RNAcentral lists this ribosomal RNA (253 nucleotides) under uncultured bacterium. RNAcentral describes it as "partial 16S ribosomal RNA". It matches the Rfam family "Bacterial small subunit ribosomal RNA", at positions 524 to 776 of the family's 1533-position model. The record is from RNAcentral.
UACGAAGGGGGCUAGCGUUGUUCGGAAUUACUGGGCGUAAAGCGCGUGUAGGCGGGUCCUUAAGUCAGUGGUGAAAUCUCCGGGCUCAACCCGGAAACUGCCAUUGAUACUAAUGGUCUUGAAUUUUGUUGAGGUAGGCGGAAUAAGUCAUGUAGCGGUGAAAUGCAUAGAUAUGACUUAGAACACCAAUUGCGAAGGCAGCUUGCUAAACAAAUAUUGACGCUGAGGCACGAAAGCGUGGGGAUCAAACAGG